Molecule: ribosomal RNA, 372 nt
Filed under: uncultured organism
Description: bacterial SSU rRNA
Rfam family: Bacterial small subunit ribosomal RNA
Source: RNAcentral
CAGAGGGUGCGAGCGUUGUCCGGAAUCACUGGGCGUAAAGGGCGCGUAGGUGGCGGGCCAAGUCGGUGGUGAAAGCUCGAUGCUUAACAUCGAGUCGGCCAUCGAUACUGGUUUGCUCGAGCACUGUAGGGGCAGAUGGAAUUCCGGGUGUAGCGGUGGAAUGCGUAGAGAUCCGGAAGAACACCGGUGGCGAAGGCGGUCUGCUGGGCAGUUGCUGACACUGAGGCGCGACAGCGUGGGGAGCAAACAGGAUUAGAUACCCUGGUAGUCCACGCCGUAAACGAUGGGCACUAGAUGCUUGGGGGAGCGACCCCCUGAGUGUCGUCGCUAACGCAGUAAGUGCCCCGCCUGGGGAGUACGGCCGCAAGGCUG